GAACAACUGAGGGUCAGCGGGGGGAAAAAGCUCCCGCAAUGUCACAUUUUCGUCGAUCACGAACUUCUUCUGGGCUCAGCAUUUAUGGAUUAGCUUCUUUCUGCAGUGCAGGGUGACAGACUCAGUCUAUGGCAAUCCAGCUUCAGACACAUUUUGAAAGACAAAAAUCACGACUCGUAGAAAUCCAGAGAUAAAGAUUAAAGUCUGUGGCUUGCCAUGGUAAGAAGACUUCUUAUCACCAAGCAACGCUAACUACACAAAAAAGUCCCCAAAGCCUCAGAAACCAGCAGAAACUCUCUACACUCCCUCCUCUACCAUGCAGCCAGUCAUCAACAGCCCUCCUCCACCCUGGGAGAGCUGCUGUCUGUCCUCUGCGGUAGGUAAAACAGGGGGUCACUCGAGUGAAUACACCAAG
Long non-coding RNA from Meriones unguiculatus (Mongolian gerbil), 415 nucleotides. RefSeq lists it as uncharacterized. Lineage: Eukaryota; Metazoa; Chordata; Mammalia; Rodentia; Muridae. The transcript is spliced from 3 exons. The record is from RefSeq and is a predicted model, not a curated record.